UGGGGAAUUUUGCGCAAUGGGCGAAAGCCUGACGCAGCGACGCCGCGUGUGCGAUGAAGGCCCUUGGGUCGUAAAGCACUGUCAACCGGGACGAAAUGCCGCUGGUGAACAGCCAGUGGAGCUGACGGUACCGGUAGAGGAAGCACCGGCUAACUCUGUGCCAGCAGCCGCGGUAAUACAGAGGGUGCAAACGUUGCUCGGAAUUACUGGGCGUAAAGAGCGUGUAGGCGGCCUUUUAAGUCGUCUGUGAAAUCCCAUGGCUCAACCAUGGACGUGCAGACGAUACUGGGAGGCUCGAGUCCUGGAGAGGGUGGUGGAAUUCCCAGUGUAGAGGUGAAAUUCGUAGAUAUUGGGAGGAACACCAGUGGCGAAGGCGACCACCUGGACAGGUACUGACGCUGAGACGCGAAAGCGUGGGGAGCAAACAGGAUUAGAUACCCCCGUAGUCC
Molecule: ribosomal RNA, 449 nt
Filed under: uncultured prokaryote
Description: bacterial SSU rRNA
Rfam family: Bacterial small subunit ribosomal RNA
Source: RNAcentral